This 67-nucleotide microRNA precursor is filed under the name Drosophila mojavensis. RNAcentral describes it as "Dmo-Mir-9-P11_pre stem-loop". The record is from RNAcentral. Lineage: Eukaryota; Metazoa; Arthropoda; Insecta; Diptera; Drosophilidae.
UCUUUGGUAUUCUAGCUGUAGAUUGUUUUCACAUAUUGUAUCAUCUAAAGCUUUUAUACCAAAGCUC